UACGUAGGGUGCGAGCGUUAAUCGGAAUUACUGGGCGUAAAGGGUGCGCAGGCGGUUAUAUAAGACAGAUGUGAAAUCCCCGGGCUUAACCUGGGAACUGCGUUUGUGACUGUAUAACUUGAGUGUGGCAGAGGGGGGUAGAAUUCCACGUGUAGCAGUGAAAUGCGUAGAGAUGUGGAGGAAUACCGAUGGCGAAGGCAGCCCCCUGGGUCAACACUGACGCUCAUGCACGAAAGCGUGGGGAGCAAACAGG
This 253-nucleotide ribosomal RNA is filed under the name uncultured bacterium. Its description in RNAcentral is "partial 16S ribosomal RNA". It matches the Rfam family "Bacterial small subunit ribosomal RNA", at positions 524 to 776 of the family's 1533-position model. The record is from RNAcentral.